CGCUUAUGGGGAAAGUGAGCUACUUGCGUUUCCAAAGACUGCCGAGCCGAAUUACUCCCAUUUAUUUUUUGAAGGUUAUGAUCCCCCACUUUGCUUUCUGAAGGUCAUGACCCCCUUUUACGUUUUGAACGUGAUGACCCCUUUCCCAGCUCGCCCUCAACAUUCUGCUUGGGAAAAAAGGACGUCCAUUGGAAACACUGGACUUGGGAGAGAGGAUCAGGCUACCAGUUGGAUGUUUAUGGCUGACUGAGACGUUGCCCAGAGAAAGGGUGAAUGCCUCUCGAGAAGUGGAGCCCGUAGAACCUGAAAACUGCCGCCUUAUUGAGGAACUUGAAAGCGGCUCUGAAGAUAUUGAUAUACUUCCUAGUGGGCUGGCUUUUAUCUCCAGU
Molecule: small RNA, 389 nt
Filed under: Pongo abelii (Sumatran orangutan)
Lineage: Eukaryota; Metazoa; Chordata; Mammalia; Primates; Hominidae
Description: processed transcript
Source: RNAcentral